AUGAUAAAGAUUGAAGGGACUAAUAAUGAAAACACCCUUAAUAACCUUAGGUUAAAGGGGAAAAUAAAAACUGAAAACUAGCAAGACACAUUUUUUUAUAUGGAGAUGAACCUGGACAUAAUCAUGUUUCGUUAUUGAGUUGUAGGAAAUUUGUCACCCCCAAUUGUCUGUGGGAAUCCGUCUUAAGCCCGUGCCAUAUCUGUUUAAUAUUUCUUUAAAUUUUGCUGUGUCUCUUUUUUUUUAUCCAUUCCAGGUUACCCAAUUUUCACCUGCUUUGCUUAAAAGAGAGGGUGUGCCUAUUUAUUGCUCCGUGCAGAAUGAAGGGGAGCUUGUUUUGACAUUCCCUAGAGCUUAUCAUUCAGGACUCAGUUGUGGAUUCUCUUGUACUGUGGCUGUAAAUGUAGCCACUUCAGACUGGUUGCCUCACGGGCAGAAUGCUGCAGAGCUUAACCGCAAACAGGCUCACAAGAUAUCGUUAUCCCACGACGAACUAUUGACGGGAGCGGCAAGAGAAGCAGUUAAGAGCACAGUGGAAUAUUCCACUUCUUUGAAAGAACACUAUAGAGAGUUUAAGAUGGAAAGAGGCAUGUGGAGAUCGAAGAUAGAAUCCUGCAGCCAAGUCACUUAAGGUUGGGAAUAUUUGGUUUGAUGGUAGCAGAGAUGCUGAGAUUGAUGUGAAGCUUGACAGUGGCACGCAUUAUACAAAUGAUCAAAAGUUAUUCUUUUUACUUCAUAAGAUUUAAUCUGUACAUAGAUAACAAAUGUAAAUUCUUGUUCUUACCCAAUUUGUUCAAGCAAAGAAACAAUAAUGUUUUGGAGAACUGUAACAUUAAAUAAAUUUAUGAAGUUUUGGAA
This is a long non-coding RNA of Asparagus officinalis (garden asparagus), 855 nucleotides long. RefSeq lists it as uncharacterized. The record is from RefSeq and is a predicted model, not a curated record. NCBI's taxonomy places the organism in Eukaryota, Viridiplantae, Streptophyta, Magnoliopsida, Asparagales, Asparagaceae. The transcript has 2 exons.